RNAcentral lists this ribosomal RNA (339 nucleotides) under uncultured Pelotomaculum sp. Its description in RNAcentral is "bacterial SSU rRNA". It matches the Rfam family "Bacterial small subunit ribosomal RNA", at positions 1044 to 1382 of the family's 1533-position model. Lineage: Bacteria; Bacillati; Bacillota; Clostridia; Eubacteriales; Desulfotomaculaceae. The record is from RNAcentral.
CAUGGUUGUCGUCAGCUCGUGUCGUGAGAUGUUGGGUUAAGUCCCGCAACGAGCGCAACCCCUACGUUUAGUUGCUAACGCGUGAAGGCGAGCACUCUAGACGAACUGCCGUUGACAAAACGGAGGAAGGUGGGGAUGACGUCAAAUCAUCAUGCCCCUUAUGUUCUGGGCUACACACGUGCUACAAUGGCCGGUACAGACAGACGCAAAGCCGCGAGGUGGAGCAAAUCCUAAAAAGCCGGUCUCAGUUCGGAUUGCAGGCUGCAAUUCGCCUGCAUGAAGUCGGAAUCGCUAGUAAUCGCAGGUCAGCAUACUGCGGUGAAUACGUUCCCGGGCCUU